Vicia villosa (hairy vetch) is the source of this 1823-nucleotide RNA transcript. It is a transcript of the gene named THO complex subunit 5B-like, with no coding region annotated. The transcript has 5 exons. Lineage: Eukaryota; Viridiplantae; Streptophyta; Magnoliopsida; Fabales; Fabaceae. The record is from RefSeq and is a predicted model, not a curated record.
GUUCCAUCGACGAGUCUGAAGUUGAAGCUGUUUAUGAAGUUCGUAAGACUCCGACGGUUAAAUUUUAGAAUGUGUGUCUAACUUUUGAACCGGUAGAGGAAUUACUAUCACCUGAAGCCUCCUUUGAGCUUCGUCAACCGCGGGUAACUAAAGUUGAGUCACUGCAAAACUACUCUCCCGGGGAUAAUGAAGUGUUGGAAGAUGCUGGAGUGUCUCAGGAAGCAGAAUUGUUGUUCUUACGAGAUGUUGACAAUAUUGGAGUAGAAGAGAAUUUUCCGAAGCUGAAAAGAGAUUUUGAGUGUCUGACAAAAGAGCUAGCAGUAACAAAGAGGGAGUUGUGGGAGCUCAAGAAGGAGAAUAAUCAAAAAAGUUGUGAAUGUCAACAACCUUUGAACUCCCUAAAGGAGGUUCAGAACGAGCUAAUGCGCAAGUCGAUGCACGUGGGAUCUUUAGAUUCUGUAUUAAAUGGGAAGUGAAGCUUUUAGAUAUUAAGGGCGGGAAUGCAUGAAUGUAACUCCGGAUCUGCUCAUCUUGUAAAUGUCGAGGUUGAUUCAAUGGGAGGUGUUGUGGAUGGCGGAGUUGGUAUAGGUUUGAAAACCUCUCCGCGCCGAGCAGCAAUUGAGAAGGCUCAAGCAGAGCUCAGUUGAUGGGAAGCAGAAAACCUUUGUGUACUUGCACUUUUUUAUUGUUUGUUUCAGGCAUCAGUAUACUCUUAUGCAUUAAGAAUAACUCAUCCUCUUUGUUAGCAGACAGGGGUACGGUGUUCGUGAAAUAGAAGGAUCUAAUGAUGGUCCUGACAAUGACAUCUUAUGCAAUUUAUUUUCUAAUGAUACAUGCCUUGAGCUUCCUCACCAGUCAGCUAAGCUUUUUGUUCAAGAUGCUAUAACGUUCAAUGCUCAGAGAACUUCACGUCCUUACAAAUGGGCUCAGCACCUGGCAGGGAUUGAUUUCUUGCCUGAGGUGUCUCCAUUGCUCCCCACUGACAACAGUGAAGUAGCAAGGAGCAAAGAUGUUAUAUCUGGUCUCUCAUUAUAUCGCCAACAGAACCGAGUACAGACACUGCAAAAAAUCCGCUCAAGGAAAAAAGCUCAGUUGGCUCAUCUGUGAGUCACGGCUCUAGCAUGUUUACAGUUUUAGAAACUCCACUUAAUAUGGAGAUUUACCAAAGCGGUUACUUUUUGGUUUUUUAUACUAUUCAAAUUUUAGGUUCUCAUUUGAUUUUUAAGUUUACUAAUUUUUGUUUGUUGAUUUACAUAUUCAUUUGAUUUUUAAGUUUAAUAAUUUUUGUUUGUUGAUUUACAUAUUUGUUUGUUGAUAACUAAGAAAAAUAAAAUAACUGCAUGAUCCUUAUGUUUUUGUGAGAGUUUUUUGUGAGAGUGUGUAUGUGAGAUUAUCAAUAUGAGUGUUUUUCAAUAAGAAAUUAAAUGUGGCAAAUCCCUAUGCAAUGAGAUUUCGGACCAUAAUGUGAAAGGAUGUUUUUUCAUCCAUGAUAUCUUAACUUAUAUAUAGAUUUGGUUACUUUAGAUUGAUAGUCAUUUGAAAAAUUGUUGUUCCAUUUGAUCACAUGAAAUGGGUUGUUGUUUAGUUGGAGUUACUUUCUCUAUUUAUUUAUGGGCAAUACUUAAUAUAACUGUUUAAUUUUUUUCUUAUGACAUGAGUAAUGCUAUCACAUUUUGCAGUUGACAAUACUUGGGACAUUUCAAUUUGAUUUAUUUUUGUCAUUUAGCAAAAAUAAUGCACUUCGUGACAAUUUUUUUGGGAUCAAUUCUACAAAAAUGUGAGAGGGUUGGUGUCUUUUUUUCUCUAAUUUUGGACCGUGUGUA